GCGUUCGUGGUGUAGUGGUCAGCACGCUAGACGCGUAACCGAGAGGUCCGUGGUUCGAUUCCCGGCGAAGGCG
Molecule: non-coding RNA, 73 nt
Organism: Stegodyphus mimosarum
Lineage: Eukaryota; Metazoa; Arthropoda; Arachnida; Araneae; Eresidae
Source: Rfam